AUCCCAGAUAAGCUAAAGCAUCGGGUGCUUAUCUGAUUCAUGGGAGGCCAAAAGCAAGGUUGGAAGUUUCGCUGAUUGACGCCUACCUUUUCUUUUUAUCAAUUUGAGGUGUCUACUUAGUAACUUUUCCAAACGUGC
This is a small nucleolar RNA of Juglans microcarpa x Juglans regia, 138 nucleotides long. The record is from RefSeq and is a predicted model, not a curated record. Lineage: Eukaryota; Viridiplantae; Streptophyta; Magnoliopsida; Fagales; Juglandaceae.